ACGUGAUCUGAGUUCAGACCGGAGCAAUCCAGGUCAGUUUCUAUCUAUAAAGAGAUUUUUCUAGUACGAAAGGACCGAAAAAGCAUGGCCAAUACUUAUGUAUGCCAUAACCAAUACUCUAUGAUUUAACUUAAUAGACUAUUGAACUACUAUGAAUCUCAAGAUUAUGAG
This 171-nucleotide ribosomal RNA is filed under the name Sphaenorhynchus lacteus (Orinoco lime treefrog). RNAcentral's name for it is "partial 16S ribosomal RNA". The record is from RNAcentral. Lineage: Eukaryota; Metazoa; Chordata; Amphibia; Anura; Hylidae.